AUGAAAAAACAGAGGAAAAUUUUAUGGAGAAAAGGAAUCCACUUAGCCUUUUCUGAGAAAUGGAAUACUGGGUUUCGAGGCUUUAAGAAGUUUUGCUUUCACCAACACUUGUGUGUUCUGAAAGCCAAGUUGGGAAGGACAAUUAUUUGGAGCAGGCAGUUGAGGCACUUACAGUGCAGAAAGAAGGUCCUUCAUAUCCAGAAAACGUGGAUCCAGGAUGAACCUCUUUUUGCUAAGACAGAGUCCAAUGUGGCUGCUCAAAAUGUUAGUACUUUUUCCUCUAAAGUGAAUAGAAAAGACACUAAACACUUCAUUUCCUCUUCAAGGACCCUCCUGAAACUCCAAGCAGAGAAGUUGCUGUCAUCAGUAAAGAACUCUGAUUAUGAAUACUGUGGAGAUAAAAGUUUCUUGAAGGUGGUUGCUGACUUACCAACAAAUAGUGUUUUAGGUCAGGCCAGUGGUCACAGACCUAGAACAGAGCUGCAAGCUUCUGACUUUCCCAUGAAGUUCAAUGGGGAGAACCAAAGUUCAUGUGAGAGUGGCACAAUUGUGGUCACCUUGAGCAACCAUAAGAGAAAGCGCUUUUGUUAUGGCUGCUACCAAGGACUGGAGCACCACAGGAAUGGGGGAUCUCUAAUUCCAAAAAAGUUCCAACUUAACCAACACAGAAGAAUUAAAGUGUCUCCUCUUAUGAUGUAUGAGAACUUAUCCAUGAUUAGGUUUCGGUACAGGAUUCUCAGAUCUCAGCACUUCAGAACAAAAAGCAAAAUUUGCAAGCUUAAAAAAGCCCAGCGAAGCUGGUUGCAGGUCACUGGGGACCAUCAAGAGACCCUUAGGGAGAACGGUGAGGGUGGCAGUUGCAGCCCAUUCCCUGCCCCAGAACCUAAAGACCCUUCUUGUCAGCGCCAACAAGUGUACUUCCCAGAUAUGGACAGCAAUGCUGUGGGAAAGGGGAAGAACUCUCAUGUGCCUGAUGGCCACACUAAAGGAAGCCCUUUCUUGGGCAAGGAGCUUAGUUUAGAUGAGGCAUUCUCUAACCAACAGAAUGGCAGUGCCACAUACACCUGGGACCAGUCACCCUGUUCCUCUCCUAAGUGGGAGUGUACAGAACUGAUUCGUAACAUCCCCCUUCCAGAAUAUCAUUCUAGUAACAUGUUUAUCUCAGAAACGGAAAGAGAAGUUACGACUCUGGGUCAGGAAAAUCGGACAAGUACUGUCAGUGAAAACAGAGUAAAACUGUCAAUGUCUGGGGCAGAUCAGUCUGUGAGUGGAGUAGACCAGCCAGUGUCCAAAGAGACUGUCCAGAAUGAGAUCUCAUGCCAGAUGGAUGAGGAUGGAUCUCUUAAGCAGAACAUUCUUAGUUCUAAGUUGUUGGACCACCCUUACUGUAAAAGCCCACUGGAGGCUCCUCUGAUGUGCAGUGGGCUCAAACUAGAAAAUCAAGUGGGUGGUGGGAAGACCAGUGAAAAAGCAUGUCCAGUGGAUGAUGAACAGCUGUCAGUCUGCCUUUCUGGAUUCCUAGAUGAGGUUAUGAAGAAAUAUGGCAGUUUGGUCCCACUCAGUGAAAAAGAUGUCCUUGGAAGAUUAAAAGAUGUCUUUAAUGAAGAUUUUUCUAAUAGAAAACCAUUUAUCAAUAAGGAAAUAACAAACUAUCGAGCAAGACAUCAAAAAUGCAACUUCCGUAUCUUCUACAAUAAGCACAUGCUGGAUAUGGAUGAUUUGGCAACCUUGGAUGGUCAGAAUUGGCUGAAUGACCAGGUCAUUAAUAUGUACGGUGAGCUGAUAAUGGAUGCAGUCCCAGACAAAGUUCACUUCUUCAACAGCUUUUUUCAUAGACAGCUGGUAACCAAAGGAUAUAAUGGAGUAAAAAGAUGGACUAAAAAGGUGGAUUUGUUUAAAAAGAGUCUCCUGUUGAUUCCCAUUCACCUGGAAGUCCACUGGUCUCUCAUUACUGUGACACUCUCUAAUAGAAUUAUUUCAUUUUAUGAUUCCCAAGGCAUUCAUUUUAAAUUUUGUGUAGAGAAUAUAAGAAAGUAUUUGCUGACUGAAGCCAGAGAAAAAAAUAGACCUGAAUUUCUUCAGGGCUGGCAGACUGCUGUUACAAAGUGUAUUCCACAGCAGAAAAAUGACAGUGACUGUGGAGUCUUUGUGCUCCAGGUUAACGUUACUUGGCGAUCAGAAGUGGCAUCCAAAGAAGAUCCCCAACAACUCCAAGGCUUGUGAGUGAACGGGUACUGGUACCCACCGAGCCCAUUAAGCUCAGUGCUUGCUUGCUAGCCCUAGAGUUUGAGGGUUGAACCAGGAUCUUUCUCUUUCAGUUAAAAGGACCAGGAUGGAAUGGAAAACCAUGUCCACUCCAGAUUUAGUUAAUUUGGCAAACCAGCUUCUCCACACCAUAGGUGAGUCACCUAAAAGAAAGACUGCUAAAAUUCUCAACUUUCAACUUUGGCAAAUGAAGACCCCUAAACAAAACCAAAAACCUAGUUGUUGCUAUUGUUGCAAAGAGCCUGGAUAUUACAAAAAAGACUGUUACAAAUUAAAGUGCCUCAGGCCCUUCAGCUUGUUAGCCAGACUUUCCAAUGUCCUCCUAGUUCCCAAUGAUGGAAUACCAAGCACUAUUUGGCUCUUCCAAUCCUCCCUCUUAAUCAGCUCAGAAAAACCACCCUCCCAGAUUAGGAAUAGGCCUCUUUGUCCUGACUGACACUGGGCUACAUUUCCUGGGCUCAAGCCCACUGCUAUAACGCAACCCGUACUCAGAACACUAAAACACUUCAUAUAGUGAGGUGUGUCAUAAACCCCAACAAGUUCCUGUCUCUGAACCUACUCCCUUUUGUUUAGGCCCUUUGAGAGAUACCCUUUCUCCUUAGUUCCUCUGCCCCUAUUAGUUUAUUGGGCCAAGAGUUCUUUAAAUAAAGAACAUGCCAGCAUUUCUCCCAAAAGGUAAAUAAUUCUAGAAUUUGACAGUAGUCAAAAUUAUCAACCAGAGUAAUUAAAUGACCCCUAAACAUCUUUGAUUUGCUCCAUCUCUGAUGGCACUAUAGCCAGUCUGAGGGCACUGACCAUUUGUUUCUAUGGAUCAGCUACCAUCCUAUUUAUUGGCAAGAUCUUCAACUGCUAUUGGCAGAAUCCAUAGUGCACCUCCCAUUAAGAUUCAAAUAGAUCCCUUAAAAACCUCUCCCAGAAUUAAUCAAGCCCUUCAAAGCAUCAAGCCCAUGAUAGAAAAGUACAGUGCUCAAGGCCUCUUUAUCCCCUGUAUAAAUUACACUGUUAUCCUUCAGCACCUUGUUGUUCCUGACCCCACAAGCUGCUGACACCAUUCCCACUGAAAGCAUAUUUUUCACUGUAAUUUAUCUAUGCAGUGCAUUUCAGUAUUCCACUUGAUAAGGAUAGCCAGGAUCAUUUUGCUUCCACUUGAGAAGAACAGAAAUACAACGGGACAGUAAUGCCCCAAGGUUUCACAGAAGGUCCCUAUUUCUCACAAGCUUUAAAAGCUGAUUUGGAUGAUGCAUAAUUUUCUGUAGUCUCUACUUUGUACAAUAUCUAGAUGAUUUGCUUCUCUGUUCCCCUUCUCAAAACUCUCCAUAGGAAGACAACAUUCACCUGUUAAAAAUUUUAGAUUUAAGGGGACAUAAAGUCUCCAAAGAAAAACUGCAUUUUGCUUAUAUUCAGGUCUGGCACCUAAGGCAUCUGAUCUCAGAAUAGGAUUAUAUGUGGAUCUAGAUGAAACCCCUUAACGACUACUUAACACUAAUGGAUCACCUUUUGAUUUUCCAUGACAAUUUACAGGAAACUCCUUGUUAAACAAUGUAGCUUUUUCAUGGUUUACUGAUGAUUCUUAUUUAAAGAAUUUAAAUGGUAAGUAUCAUGCAGUACAGUAUUGCAACUACUUUUGAAAUUAUUGAGCCAGCACCUCUACUUUUGGCUACUUUGGCCCAGCAAGCUGAGCUUUAUGCCCUUAACUGAGGCUUGUACCUUAAGCCAAGGGUAAACUGCAAACAUUUAUACUGAUAGUCAGUAUGCCUUUGGGGUAGCUCACAACAUUGGGGGUAUUAUGGGAACAAUGAGGUUUCUUAGCUCUAAUGAGGAUAAAAUUAGAAAUGGCUCAUAUGUUCAAAAUUUAUUAGGUGCAGUGCUUUUGCUGUUGGCUGUGACUAGUAAGGUUCCUAGGUAUUCUAGACUUGAUUCCCUGGAGGUCAAAGGACCCCACCUUGCUGAUAUUUCUAUCUAAAACACUGCUCUCAAGGUAAUAAAUAUCCAAACCUCUGUCAUGCUCCAAAAGGAUGUUCUCCCAAAUGAUAAUUCAGAAAAACUGAAAAAUAUACACAAUUGGCCCUGGAAAUGAAAAACAGUAUUGGAAAUCUAGAAAUUGUUGGUUUAAUAAAAAGAGAAAACUUUCGUUUGAAACAAACAAUCCAGCUCUACCAGAAAUUCUAAAAGUCCCACUACUUACCACUGUACAUUCAUUAAGCCAUUGGUCAGGACAAAAUCAGAGCGUUCAUGAACCAGUAUCGGUGAUACUAGUAAGGCCACAAAAAGUACCUACCUCACUUGUCCCACCUGUUAAAAGUAUAAUCCUGAGAUACUUGCCCACGCAGCCCUCUGGGCAUUUCAGUUGCCCAGUGGGCCAUCUGAGGUUUAGCAAAUUGAUUUCGUACAGCUUCCCAUGUCAUGGAUAAAUGUUUUAGUCAAGGUUUGUAUGUUUUUUCACUGGACUGAAGCUUUCUCUUGUAGAUGGGUCAAUGCUUUUUCUGUGGCUAAAAUGCCUGUUUGAAAAGAUUAUCCCUCCUGGGGAACUCAUCUUAAACUUCAUAGUAAUUGAGAAACCCAUUUACUGGUCAGGUACAUUGAUCAGUCUGGGCUGUGUGGCCCAUUUUAUGCUUUCAUUGUGCAUACCACCCUCAAUCUUCAGGGUUAGUUAUACACACUAAUGGCACUAAGACUCAUUGGCAAAGUUUGUAGAGACUCUCCAAAUACCUUGGCCUAAGUUUGUAGAGACUCUCCAUACUACCUUUAGUCCUAAAUCUCAGAUCCACACCCUUUGGAACAUGUAGACUCUCACCCUUUAAGAAGUCUCAGGAUGUCCAGUGCACUUGGCCCCUGCCUCCAUUGAUAAAGGAGCCAUACUUCAAUAUUGUAAAGAUCUAAUUACUUAUAUAUAUUGAAAAUAACCAUGCUUUGAAGAGCAAUCUUUUCACAGUGUGCUUCUGGGAGACAAAGACCUUAAGCAUUACACCUUUGAACCUGGAGAUUUGUCUUUAGAAAAGACAACUCCAGAAAGACUCUCUUCAACCUCACUGGAAAGUUCCUCAUCAGGAACUGCUAACCAACCCUUGUGCCAACAAAUUCCGGGGAAUAGACUCUUGGGAUUCAUGUGACACAUCUGAAGAAAGGACCAGGGCUCUCUUGUUCCCUCCUGGCAUGAGCCAGGAGCUCAUCCUCUCUCUGUAUCUGUCAAUAAAAUCCUCUCUGGCUCUCCUAAAAAAAAAAAGAGAGAAAGAAAGGACCAAACCCUGACUGGAUCUGCACUCCAUCUGGUGACCUGAAAAUAAAGAUUCACUGGAAUCGAAGCAGAUGACAUCGGACGAGAUGGCUUUCCCAAGAUGUCUGGACCAGGCCUGUAUUCUUUUUCUCACUACUUGCAGCUUCUCUUUUGUGGAAAGAAAAUGCUCUGCCUGCAUUUCCCACAACCUUGCAAAUGGAAGACUCUUCUUUUGAUACAGCCUUUUGGAAAUAGCUUCAUCAUGACCACAUGAGCUUUCUGAAGGUCUGAAAGGUUCAGAUUCACAAGUCUUUAUUUCAUCUUAAUUAUUAACUGGCUUUGGAUUCUUAGCCAAAUUCAUAGUCUCUGAAAUUAUCACCUUACAGACUAUGUUUUUGGUAACACAAUUGGCUCCCAACAUUAUUGACAUAACAAUACUAUUUUUAAAUGUCUUUAUGUUUUGCUCUUUUGCAAAAAGUUCAUCAGCUGUUGCGUCAUAUUUAUACCUACACUGUAUCUUCCCAAAUGCACUUGGUUAUUUCUUUCAGGGUGCUCUUACAGUAUACACUAUUCUGCUUUCACAGGCACUUUGAGCAGGGACUGCCAGAAGGCAUACAUGACUGGGUUGGCCUGCACAGGAACUUUUUCCCCCUAAGUCGGGAGGAGUUAGUGUCAAUAAAUACUUCAUUUGGCUUUCAGACCUAGGGUCCUGGUUUAGAACCAACAUGCAAUUUGGAAUUGUCAUAUUACACCUUAUGUUUGUAUAAUUAUUUUAAGUUUUGAAUUUUACUGCCUGUCAAACUUCUGUAAAAAAUUAUGUACUCAGUAAGAAAACGAUGUUCAGUGCUUAUGAUCUUCAUAAAUAAGGACUAUACUUGGGACGUGUCUGUUGAGUUCUCCCUCCUGAUCUUCCUUAUUAAUCAAAUGCGGCCUUAAGUGCUUUCCAGCUGCCACGCAUUUGCCCUCUGAUGCAGGACAUGACAACCAGGAAACGUCCUUCCUGGCACUAAGGAACAAAACCAUUACUCAAAGAAAACCUGACACUUGAUCAGUGGUGUUUUCAGAGAAAGAUCUUGAUCAAAAGGGGAAAUGUGAAAAUUAAUAAAAGGAAAAGUCACCAAAGUGGAGUCUGGAGGUUAGAAGGGGGAGCUACACCACUCUUUGCCAGUUAUAAGAACAACUGUCAAUUACAGACCCCAAAUUAAGAACCUUCAAUAGGAAGGAAUCAUUGAUUACAGGCCCCAACCAGAAAAGAUGCACAUUGCAUCUCCUACAAAAAACUGACUACUUCUAUGACUCAGCCAAUGAAAAACCUCAUCAUCCUGAACUCUUGCUUUUCUCCAGACUUUCCUUCAAAACAACCCCUUCCAAGUUCCUCCUUCUCCAUAACAUAACGUUCUUCUCCUUUGUGUGUUAGGCAUGCCUAUGGUUUUGCUAUAGCUUGCAUGUCUUAAAUUGCAAUUCUCUAUUCCUGAAUAAACCCAUGUGGCUAGUAAAAUAACUUUUAUUUUUAUAAUUAACUACAAAAAAUAUUUAAAAAUAACUGUGGCAAGUUUAUGAAGACACUCAUAUUGUUGGUAGGAGUAUAAGUGAAUACAACCUCAAAGGAGGGCUAACAAUGUCAAAAUGUUGGAAUUUAAAAUAUAGAUAUACUUGCACAUGCAUAAAAUCAGGGAUGUUUGGGUUAUUUCUAAUAGCGAAAGAAAUAUCCCAAAAUAUUCCUCAUUGGAAACAGGCUAAAUAUCCAUCAAUAGGAACUUAAAUACAUUAGGGUGAAGCUAAAGAAUGGAGUAUAAUUUUUUUAAUGGGGGUAAUCCUAUCUCUUGUAUUUUUUUUAAAUUUUGGUAUCAUUAAUCUACAAU
RNA transcript from Manis javanica (Malayan pangolin), 7341 nucleotides. It is a transcript of the gene named SUMO specific peptidase 5, with no coding region annotated. The record is from RefSeq and is a predicted model, not a curated record. NCBI's taxonomy places the organism in Eukaryota, Metazoa, Chordata, Mammalia, Pholidota, Manidae.